CCUACGGGCGGCAGCAGUGGGGAAUAUUGCACAAUGGGCGAAACCCUGAUGCAGCAACGCCGCGUGAAGGAAGACGGUUUUCGGAUUGUAAACUUCUAUCAAUAGGGAACAAAGAAAUGACGGUACCUAAAGAAGAAGCUCCGGCUAACUACGUGCCAGCAGCCGCGGUAAUACGUAGGGGGCAGGCGUUAUCCGGAUUUACGGGGUGUAAAGGGAGAGUAGGAGGAAAGGUAAGCGAUAUGUGAAAGCCUUAAGCUUAAGGUAAGGAUGGCAAAAGGAACUAUCUAGCUAGAGUACAGGAGAGGAGAGCGGAAUUCGUAGUGUAGCGGUGAAAUGCGUAGAUAUUAGGAAGAACACCAGUGGCGAAGGCGGCUUUCUGGACUGAAACUGACGCUGAGGCUCGAAAGCGUGGGGAGCAAACAGGAUUAGAUACCCUGGUAGUC
This 443-nucleotide ribosomal RNA is filed under the name uncultured bacterium. RNAcentral's name for it is "partial 16S ribosomal RNA". It matches the Rfam family "Bacterial small subunit ribosomal RNA", at positions 338 to 795 of the family's 1533-position model. The record is from RNAcentral.